This 1341-nucleotide ribosomal RNA is filed under the name uncultured bacterium. RNAcentral's name for it is "16S ribosomal RNA". It matches the Rfam family "Bacterial small subunit ribosomal RNA", at positions 28 to 1381 of the family's 1533-position model. The record is from RNAcentral.
GACGAACGCUGGCGGCGUGCUUAACACAUGCAAGUCGAACGGUAAGGCUCCAGCUUGCUGGGGUACACGAGUGGCGAACGGGUGAGUAACACGUGGGUGACCUGCCCUGCACUUCGGGAUAAGCCUGGGAAACUGGGUCUAAUACCGGAUAGGACCGCACCGUGAGGGUGUGGUGGAAAGUUUUUUCGGUGUGGGAUGGGCCCGCGGCCUAUCAGCUUGUUGGUGGGGUAAUGGCCUACCAAGGCGGCGACGGGUAGCCGGCCUGAGAGGGUGGACGGCCACAUUGGGACUGAGACACGGCCCAGACUCCUACGGGAGGCAGCAGUGGGGAAUAUUGCACAAUGGGCGGAAGCCUGAUGCAGCGACGCCGCGUGGGGGAUGACAGCCUUCGGGUUGUAAACUCCUUUCACCAUCGACGAAGGGUUUCUGACGGUAGAUGGAGAAGAAGCACCGGCUAACUACGUGCCAGCAGCCGCGGUAAUACGUAGGGUGCGAGCGUUGUCCGGAAUUACUGGGCGUAAAGAGCUCGUAGGUGGUUUGUCGCGUCGUCUGUGAAAUUCCGGGGCUUAACUCCGGGCGUGCAGGCGAUACGGGCAUAACUUGAGUACUGUAGGGGAGACUGGAAUUCCUGGUGUAGCGGUGAAAUGCGCAGAUAUCAGGAGGAACACCGGUGGCGAAGGCGGGUCUCUGGGCAGUAACUGACGCUGAGGAGCGAAAGCAUGGGGAGCGAACAGGAUUAGAUACCCUGGUAGUCCAUGCCGUAAACGGUGGGCGCUAGGUGUGGGUUUCCUUCCACGGGAUCCGUGCCGUAGCUAACGCAUUAAGCGCCCCGCCUGGGGAGUACGGCCGCAAGGCUAAAACUCAAAGGAAUUGACGGGGGCCCGCACAAGCGGCGGAGCAUGUGGAUUAAUUCGAUGCAACGCGAAGAACCUUACCUGGGCUUGACAUAUACAGGAUCGCGCCAGAGAUGGUGUUUCCCUUGUGGCUUGUAUACAGGUGGUGCAUGGUUGUCGUCAGCUCGUGUCGUGAGAUGUUGGGUUAAGUCCCGCAACGAGCGCAACCCUUGUCUUAUGUUGCCAGCACGUUGUGGUGGGGACUCGUAAGAAACUGCCGGGGUUAACUCGGAGGAAGGUGGGGAUGACGUCAAAUCAUCAUGCCCCUUAUGUCCAGGGCUUCACACAUGCUACAAUGGUCGGUACAGUGGGUUGCCAGUCCGUGAGGGCGAGCUAAUCCCGCGAAGCCGGUCUCAGUUCGGAUCGGGGUCUGCAACUCGACCCCGUGAAGUCGGAGUCGCUAGUAAUCGCAGAUCAGUAACGCUGCGGUGAAUACGUUCCCGGGCCU